GCUGUUCUCAACUUGUGGGUUACAACCCCUUUGGCAAAAUUCUAUCUCCAAAAAAUAUUUACCUUAUAACUCAUAACAGUAGCAGAAUUACAGUUAUGAAGUAGCAAGAAAAAUAAUUUUGUGAUUGGGGUCCCCACAACAUGAGGAACUGUAUUAAAGAGUCCCAGUAUUAGAAAGGUUGAGAACUACUUGGUACCAGAAGGUGAGGUCUCCCCCAGCAAGGUGGGUGGGCUCACUCGGUUCCAGUCACCCAGGCUAGCACUGGCUGCCCCAGGGCACAGGCACUGAGUGGCGCUCAGCGGGGACCGGGAUCGUGACCCUGGCUGGCGUGGGUAGGUGUUCCAGCACUUGGCACCAGCGCGCCUAAGAGGUCGCGGCUCCACCGCCGGCCACGCGCGCUGUGAACACGAGCUCUGGCGCGCGCACUGCCCGGCAGUCCGCAGCGCCCGCCCGGAGGGCGAGGGCGCGUUCGCUCUGGGCGCGCUCGGGCCAGGCCCGCCUACCCUGGUUUUGCUUUUCGCUUUCGCUUUGCAGCUUCUCUACAGAGAAACAAAGGGGCCGCGACGACUGGAGAUGCGGCCGCGGUCAGGGGAGCCGAGCGGCCUGAACCCCGGGCCCGGGCCGGCAGGCAAGAUGGCAGCAUGUCCUGGGCCUCCUUGUGAUAUCAAGAAGCUGGACAGCUGAGAAAGAAGAAAAUGGACUCCCUCCUUCUGAAGACUUGCUUGAAAGCCAGCCACGAGUCUCUGGAAUCAAUCCUGAUGACUUAGUGACAGGAGCUUUGUCACAGAGCCAUCUCUGCAGCCCUCAUAAAUGCUUCUUAGAGAGGACAACAGGAGGGCCUAGUGCCAACCUAUAUCUAUGUUUUCUGGUACAGGUGCCCAUGGAAUUUAAAGGAGUGCCUCGGAUCCCCUGGAACUGGAGUUAUAAGCAGUCAAACCUGGGCCCUCUGCAGGAGUAGGAAAUGCUCUUACCUGCUGAGCCAUCUUUCGAGCUCUGACUUGAGGCAUCUCAGUGGAUCGGCUUCUUCAGUAUAUUUGAAACUUCUGGUGCCUGGAUCUCUCCCUGACCCCAAAGAUUCCAAAGAGAUUGAUGUGAGUUAAAAUAAAUAAAUACAAAGUUUGUAUUAAAGGAUGACAUAAACAACAACAAAAAAGCACAAGGCAUAUAUAUAAAUCGAUCUUAUUUCCUCAAGUGAACUCAGCCUUUUGAGUAACCAGCAUUUGAGAUGACUAUCAC
Molecule: long non-coding RNA, 1236 nt
Filed under: Cricetulus griseus (Chinese hamster)
Lineage: Eukaryota; Metazoa; Chordata; Mammalia; Rodentia; Cricetidae
Description: lncRNA (ENSCGRG00015035863.1)
Source: RNAcentral